CAGCAGCAAUUCAUGUUUUGAAGUGCUUUAAACGGUUCAAAACGUGAGGCGCUGCUAUA
RNAcentral lists this microRNA precursor (59 nucleotides) under Bos taurus (domestic cattle). RNAcentral describes it as "Bta-Mir-15-P1c_pre stem-loop". It matches the Rfam family "mir-322 microRNA precursor family", at positions 11 to 67 of the family's 84-position model. The record is from RNAcentral. Lineage: Eukaryota; Metazoa; Chordata; Mammalia; Artiodactyla; Bovidae.